RNAcentral lists this transfer RNA (99 nucleotides) under Pseudomonas fluorescens. RNAcentral describes it as "tRNA-Ala". Lineage: Bacteria; Pseudomonadati; Pseudomonadota; Gammaproteobacteria; Pseudomonadales; Pseudomonadaceae. The record is from RNAcentral.
GUUUGCCGUGGGAUACGCAGCAGAUCGUCGUCGCCCUGCAGGCGACGCGCGUGGUCGGGCGCCUUGAUCGCCGCUCGUUCGAUUGGGGCGGCAAGCGCC